CCUACGGGAGGCAGCAGUGAGGAAUAUUGGUCAAUGGCCGGGAGGCUGAACCAGCCAAGUCGCGUGAGGGAAGACGGCCCUACGGGUUGUAAACCUCUUUUGUCAGGGAGCAAGGUGCAGGUCGAGACCUGCUGUGAGAGUACCUGACGAAAAAGCAUCGGCUAACUCCGUGCCAGCAGCCGCGGUAAUACGGAGGAUGCGAGCGUUAUCCGGAUUUAUUGGGUUUAAAGGGUGCGCAGGCGGAGGCACAAGUCAGCGGUAAAAUCGCGGGGCUCAACCCCGCUCCGCCGUUGAAACUGUGGCCCUUGAGUGCGCGAAGGGUAGGCGGAAUGCGUGGUGUAGCGGUGAAAUGCAUAGAUAUCACGCAGAACUCCGAUCGCGAAGGCAGCCUACCGGCGCGCAACUGACGCUCAUGCACGAAAGCGUGGGUAUCGAACAGGAUUAGAUACCCUAGUAGUC
This 459-nucleotide ribosomal RNA is filed under the name uncultured bacterium. RNAcentral describes it as "partial 16S ribosomal RNA". It matches the Rfam family "Bacterial small subunit ribosomal RNA", at positions 338 to 795 of the family's 1533-position model. The record is from RNAcentral.